Molecule: ribosomal RNA, 452 nt
Filed under: uncultured bacterium
Lineage: Bacteria
Description: bacterial SSU rRNA
Rfam family: Bacterial small subunit ribosomal RNA
Source: RNAcentral
CGGGGGGCAGCAGUAGGGAAUCUUCGGCAAUGGACGAAAGUCUGACCGAGCAACGCCGCGUGAGUGAAGAAGGUUUUCGGAUCGUAAAACUCUGUUGUUAGAGAAGAACAAGGACGUUAGUAACUGAACGUCCCCUGACGGUAUCUAACCAGAAAGCCACGGCUAACUACGUGCCAGCAGCCGCGGUAAUACGUAGGUGGCAAGCGUUGUCCGGAUUUAUUGGGCGUAAAGCGAGCGCAGGCGGUUUCUUAAGUCUGAUGUGAAAGCCCCCGGCUCAACCGGGGAGGGUCAUUGGAAACUGGGAGACUUGAGUGCAGAAGAGGAGAGUGGAAUUCCAUGUGUAGCGGUGAAAUGCGUAGAUAUAUGGAGGAACACCAGUGGCGAAGGCGGCUCUCUGGUCUGUAACUGACGCUGAGGCUCGAAAGCGUGGGGAGCAAACAGGAUUAGAUACC